GAUGAAGAACGUAGCGAAAUGCGAUACGUAAUGUGAAUUGCAGAAUUCAGUGAAUCAUCGAAUCUUUGAACGCACAUUGCGCCCGCCAGUAUUCUGGCGGGCAUGCCUGUUCGAGCGUCAUUUCAACCAUCAAGCCCCAGGCUUGUGUUGGGGUCCUGCGGCUGCCGCAGGCCCUGAAAAACAGUGGCGGGCUCGCUGUCACACCGAGCGUAGUAAUACAUCUCGCUUUGGACGUGCGGCGGGUUCUUGCCGUUAAACACCCCCCUUCUCAAGGUUGACCUCGGAUCAGGUAGGAAUACCCGCUGAACUUAAGCAUAUCAAUAAGCGGAGGA
This 332-nucleotide unclassified non-coding RNA is filed under the name soil metagenome. RNAcentral describes it as "partial contains 5.8S ribosomal RNA, internal transcribed spacer 2, and large subunit ribosomal RNA". The stretch from base 1 to 120 matches the Rfam family "5.8S ribosomal RNA", at positions 35 to 154 of the family's 154-position model. The record is from RNAcentral.